This 121-nucleotide ribosomal RNA is filed under the name Nannospalax galili (Upper Galilee mountains blind mole rat). Lineage: Eukaryota; Metazoa; Chordata; Mammalia; Rodentia; Spalacidae. The record is from RNAcentral.
GCCUGCAACCAUACCACCUUGAACAUUCCUGAUCAUAUCUAAUCUCAAAAGCUAAGCACAGUUCAGCCUGGUUAGUACUUGGAUGGGAGAUUUGUAGGAAAGAAGCAGGUUGAUAGGGGUC